GAUCUGGCUCAGGAUGAACGCUAGCUACAGGCUUAACACAUGCAAGUCGAGGGGCAGCGGGAUUGAAGCUUGCUUCAAUUGCCGGCGACCGGCGCACGGGUGAGUAACGCGUAUCCAACCUUCCGCUUACUCGGGGAUAGCCUUUCGAAAGAAAGAUUAAUACCCGAUGGUAUCUUAAGCACGCAUGAGAUUAAGAUUAAAGAUUUAUCGGUAAGCGAUGGGGAUGCGUUCCAUUAGGUAGUUGGCGGGG
RNAcentral lists this ribosomal RNA (250 nucleotides) under uncultured bacterium. RNAcentral describes it as "partial 16S ribosomal RNA". It matches the Rfam family "Bacterial small subunit ribosomal RNA", at positions 15 to 257 of the family's 1533-position model. The record is from RNAcentral.